UACGGGGGGUGCAAGCGUUAUUCGGAUUCAUUGGGCGUAAAGAGCGCGUAGGCGGUCUUUUAUGUCAGGUGUGAAAGCCCGGGGCUCAACCUCGGAAGUGCACUUGAAACUGAAAGACUUGAGUAUGGGAGAGGGAAGUGGAAUUCCUGGUGUAGCGGUGAAAUGCGUAGAUGUCAGGAGGAACACCGGUGGCGAAGGCGACUUCCUGGACCAAUACUGACGCUGAGGCGCGAAAGCGUGGGUAGCAAACAGG
Molecule: ribosomal RNA, 253 nt
Filed under: uncultured bacterium
Lineage: Bacteria
Description: partial 16S ribosomal RNA
Rfam family: Bacterial small subunit ribosomal RNA
Source: RNAcentral